Molecule: ribosomal RNA, 265 nt
Filed under: uncultured bacterium
Lineage: Bacteria
Description: partial 16S ribosomal RNA
Rfam family: Bacterial small subunit ribosomal RNA
Source: RNAcentral
UGGGGAAUAUUGGGCAAUGGGCGCAAGCCUGACCCAGCAACGCCGCGUGAGGGAAGAAGGUCUUCGGAUUGUAAACCUCUGUCCUUGGGGACGAAAAAAAUGACGGUACCCGAGGAGGAAGCUCCGGCUAACUACGUGCCAGCAGCCGCGGUAAUACGUAGGGAGCGAGCGUUGUCCGGAAUUACUGGGCGUAAAGGGUGCGUAGGCGGCAUGGCAAGUCAGAUGUGAAAUCCCCGGGCUUAACUCGGGAGUUGCAUUUGAAACU